This 481-nucleotide ribosomal RNA is filed under the name uncultured bacterium. Its description in RNAcentral is "partial 16S ribosomal RNA". It matches the Rfam family "Bacterial small subunit ribosomal RNA", at positions 30 to 507 of the family's 1533-position model. The record is from RNAcentral.
UUGAACGCUGGCGGCAUGCUUUACACAUGCAAGUCGAACGGUAACAGGCCGCAAGGUGCUGACGAGUGGCGAACGGGUGAGUAAUGCAUCGGAACGUGCCCAGUCGUGGGGGAUAACUACUCGAAAGAGUAGCUAAUACCGCAUACGAUCUAUGGAUGAAAGCGGGGGACCGUAAGGCCUCGCGCGAUUGGAGCGGCCGAUGUCAGAUUAGGUAGUUGGUGGGGUAAAGGCUCACCAAGCCAACGAUCUGUAGCUGGUCUGAGAGGACAACCAGCCACACUGGGACUGGGACACGGCCCAGACUCCUACGGGAGGCAGCAGUGGGGAAUUUUGGACAAUGGGCGCAAGCCUGAUCCAGCAAUGCCGCGUGCAGGAAGAAGGCCUUCGGGUUGUAAACUGCUUUUGUACGGAACGAAACGGCUCUGGUUAAUACCCGGGGCUAAUGACGGUACCGUAAGAAUAAGCACCGGCUAACUACGUG